GCCAGGCAUGGUGGCGCAUGCCUGUAAUCCCAGCUACUCGGGAGGCUGAGGCGGGAGAAUCACUUGAACCCAGGAGGCGGAGGCUGCAGUGAGCCAAGAUCGUGCCACUGCACUCCAGCCUGGGCAACAGAGUGAGACCCUGUCUCAA
Molecule: unclassified non-coding RNA, 148 nt
Organism: Macaca fascicularis (crab-eating macaque)
Lineage: Eukaryota; Metazoa; Chordata; Mammalia; Primates; Cercopithecidae
Rfam family: Metazoan signal recognition particle RNA
About the family: The signal recognition particle (SRP) is a universally conserved ribonucleoprotein. It is involved in the co-translational targeting of proteins to membranes. The eukaryotic SRP consists of a 300-nucleotide 7S RNA and six proteins: SRPs 72, 68, 54, 19, 14, and 9.
Source: Ensembl